UACGUAGGGGGCAAGCGUUGUCCGGAAUCAUUGGGCGUAAAGAGCGUGUAGGCGGCCCGGUAAGUCCGUUGUGAAAGUCCAGGGCUCAACCCUGGAAAGCCGAUGGAUACUGCCGGGCUAGAGUUCGGAAGAGGCGAGUGGAAUUCCUGGUGUAGCGGUGGAAUGCGCAGAUAUCAGGAGGAACACCCAGGGGGAAACCAGCCGCCUGGGCAUGCGCUGACGCUGAGGUGCGAGAGCGUGGGGAGCGAACCGG
RNAcentral lists this ribosomal RNA (253 nucleotides) under uncultured bacterium. RNAcentral describes it as "partial 16S ribosomal RNA". It matches the Rfam family "Bacterial small subunit ribosomal RNA", at positions 524 to 776 of the family's 1533-position model. The record is from RNAcentral.